Molecule: ribosomal RNA, 374 nt
Filed under: uncultured bacterium
Lineage: Bacteria
Description: bacterial SSU rRNA
Rfam family: Bacterial small subunit ribosomal RNA
Source: RNAcentral
AAUGAACGUUGGCGGCAUGGAUUAGGCAUGCAAGUCGCGCGAUAAGAUUCCUUCGGGAAUCCGAAAGCGGCGAAAGGGAGAGUAACGCGUAGAUGAUCUACCCCGAGGACUGGGAUAGCGGCGGGAAACUGCCGGUAAUACCAGAUGAUGUCUCCGGACCAAAGGUGUGAUUCCGCCUUGGGAUGAAUCUGCGUCCUAUUAGCUAGUUGGUGAGGUAACGGCUCACCAAGGCGAAGAUGGGUACCGGGUGUGAGAGCAUGACCCGGCUCACUGGGACUGAGACACUGCCCAGACACCUACGGGUGGCUGCAGUCGAGAAUCUUCGGCAAUGGGCGAAAGCCUGACCGAGCAAUGCCGCGUGCGGGAUGAAGGCC